CAGCACACGGUAAUACAGAGGGUGCGAGCGUUAAUCGGAUUUACUGGGCGUAAAGCGUGCGUAGGCGGCUUUUUAAGUCGGAUGUGAAAUCCCUGAGCUUAACUUAGGAAUUGCAUUCGAUACUGGGAAGCUAGAGUAUGGGAGAGGAUGGUAGAAUUCCAGGUGUAGCGGUGAAAUGCGUAGAGAUCUGGAGGAAUACCGAUGGCGAAGGCAGCCAUCUGGCCUAAUACUGACGCUGAGGUACGAAAGCAUGGGGAGCAAACAGGAUUAGAUACCCCGGUAGUCCCUGUCUCUUAUACAC
This 301-nucleotide ribosomal RNA is filed under the name uncultured bacterium. RNAcentral's name for it is "partial 16S ribosomal RNA". It matches the Rfam family "Bacterial small subunit ribosomal RNA", at positions 509 to 809 of the family's 1533-position model. The record is from RNAcentral.